AUGUGGCGUAUAGGUGUAGUCUUCCAGCAGUGUCGUAUGUCCGAAGUCCUUACGAUUGAGGCCAUAAACCAGAGAGGGUGCGAGCCCCGUUCUGGAUAGCGAUGCUGUUGGUUCGAUUGCUCCUUGGAGUCGGGUUGCUUGAAAGUGCAGCCUAAAGUGGGUGAUAAACUUCAUCUAAGGCUAAAUAUCGACUCGAUUGCGAUAGCGAACAAGUACCGUGAGGGAAAGUUGCAAAGGACUUUGAAGAGAGAGUUCAAGAGAACGUGAAAUCGCUGGAGUGGAACCGGAGACAGUUGAUGUCGCUUGGAGACAAGCUUGGUGGCUGGUCGCUUAGUUGUGAUCGUUGCCGGGUGUCGUCUCCUAUGCAACGCCGACGGCGUUGGCUGCUCGUUCUGGCCCGAUAAUGUUGCCCAGCUCGCAAGAGUCGGUGUCUUGUUGUCGGUAGUUGGUUCGUGGCGGCUAGCGUUUAGUUACACUAGUGUGUGUGACGUCGGUGUGAAAGUCAACGACGUUUCCGACCCGUCUUGAAACACGGAUUGCGGAGUGCUUGUCUACUGCGAGUCAAAGGGUGUUAAAACCUUGCGGCGAAAUGAAAGUGAAGGUCGAUCUCGAAUUGACCGACGUGGGAUCUGUGUGUUUUGCAUGGGGAACCAUGCGACGGCCCAAAAAUACCCUAAACCAAAUAAGACGAACACAGUGUUAUAAGACGCCGAUAUUUAUUGCUGU
Molecule: non-coding RNA, 726 nt
Filed under: Caenorhabditis brenneri
Lineage: Eukaryota; Metazoa; Nematoda; Chromadorea; Rhabditida; Rhabditidae
Description: Eukaryotic large subunit ribosomal RNA
Rfam family: Eukaryotic large subunit ribosomal RNA
Source: Rfam by way of RNAcentral